Molecule: ribosomal RNA, 505 nt
Filed under: uncultured bacterium
Lineage: Bacteria
Description: partial 16S ribosomal RNA
Rfam family: Bacterial small subunit ribosomal RNA
Source: RNAcentral
GACGAACGCUGGCGGCGUGCCUAAUACAUGCCAGUCGAACGCACAGUUUAUACCGUAGCUUGCUACACCAUAGACUGUGAGUUGCGAACGGGUGAGUAACGCGUCGGUAACCUGCCUGGUAGCGGGGGAUAACUAUUGGAAACGAUAGCUAAUACCGCAUAAUAUUAAUUAUUGCAUGAUAAUUAAUUGAAAGGUGCAAUUGCACCACUACCAGAUGGACCUUCGUUGUAUUAGCUAGUAGGUGAGGUAACGGCUCACCUAGGCGACGAUACAUAGCCGACCGGAGAGGGGGAUCGGCCAAACUGGGACGGAGACACGGCCCAGACUCCUACGGGAGGCAGCAGUAGGGAAUCGUCGGGAAGGGAGGAAAGUCUGACCGAGCAACGCCGCGUGAGGGAAGAAGGGUGUCGGAUCGGAAAGCUCUGUUGUAAGAGAAGAACGGGGGUGAGAGUGGAAAGUUCACAAUGUGACGGUAGCUUACCAGAAAGGGACGGCUAACUACGUG